RNAcentral lists this ribosomal RNA (427 nucleotides) under uncultured bacterium. Its description in RNAcentral is "partial 16S ribosomal RNA". It matches the Rfam family "Bacterial small subunit ribosomal RNA", at positions 355 to 774 of the family's 1533-position model. The record is from RNAcentral.
UGGGGAAUAUUGCACAAUGGGCGCAAGCCUGAUGCAGCCAUGCCGCGUGUAUGAAGAAGGCCUUCGGGUUGUAAAGUACUUUCAGCGAGGAGGAAGGCGUUGUGGUUAAUAACCGCAACGAUUGACGUUACUCGCAGAAGAAGCACCGGCUAACUCCGUGCCAGCAGCCGCGGUAAUACGGAGGGUGCAAGCGUUAAUCGGAAUUACUGGGCGUAAAGCGCACGCAGGCGGUCUGUCAAGUCGGAUGUGAAAUCCCCGGGCUCAACCUGGGAACUGCAUCCGAAACUGGCAGGCUAGAGUCUUGUAGAGGGGGGUAGAAUUCCAGGUGUAGCGGUGAAAUGCGUAGAGAUCUGGAGGAAUACCGGUGGCGAAGGCGGCCCCCUGGACAAAGACGGACGCUCAGGUGCGAAAGCGUGGGGAGCAAACA